GCCAGGCCUGGUGGCGCACGCCUGUAAUUCCAGCGGCUUGGGAGGCUGAGACAGGAGGAUCAUGAGUUCAAAUCCAACCUCAGCAAAAACAAGGUACUAAGCAACUCAGUGAGCCCGUCUCUA
RNAcentral lists this small RNA (123 nucleotides) under Marmota monax (woodchuck). The record is from RNAcentral. Lineage: Eukaryota; Metazoa; Chordata; Mammalia; Rodentia; Sciuridae.